This is a long non-coding RNA of Lingula anatina, 302 nucleotides long. The record is from RefSeq and is a predicted model, not a curated record. Lineage: Eukaryota; Metazoa; Brachiopoda; Lingulata; Lingulida; Lingulidae.
AUCUUUCAGAUCGUGAUAUGGGCGCACGUCAUCGUGCCCGUGCGCACUCCAUCCAGAUCAUUAGAGUACAGACAGUGGAGGCAUCCAAGUGCAGAAGAUCCAACAUCAAGCAGUUCCAUAACUCCACCAUCAAGUUUCCUCUACCCCACAGGGUGGUCAAGCAACUGCACAAGCCAAGAUUCGCAACCGCGCGACCAAACACGCACUAUUAGCAUGGACCUGCAUUUCUGUCUGCAGAUUUUGUAAUUAUAGUGAAUCUGAAACAUACUGAGAAGAAAAAAAAUAAAUGACUUUGAAGAAUG